This 449-nucleotide ribosomal RNA is filed under the name uncultured Thiobacillus sp. RNAcentral describes it as "bacterial SSU rRNA". It matches the Rfam family "Bacterial small subunit ribosomal RNA", at positions 933 to 1382 of the family's 1533-position model. The record is from RNAcentral. Lineage: Bacteria; Pseudomonadati; Pseudomonadota; Betaproteobacteria; Nitrosomonadales; Thiobacillaceae.
UGGAUUAUGUGGAUUAAUUCGAUGCAACGCGAAAACCUUACCUACCCUUGACAUGCUAGGAACUUGCCAGAGAUGGCUUGGUGCCCGAAAGGGAACCUAGACACAGGUGCUGCAUGGCUGUCGUCAGCUCGUGUCGUGAGAUGUUGGGUUAAGUCCCGCAACGAGCGCAACCCUUGUCAUUAAUUGCCAUCAUUCAGUUGGGCACUUUAAUGAGACUGCCGGUGACAAACCGGAGGAAGGUGGGGAUGACGUCAAGUCCUCAUGGCCCUUAUGGGUAGGGCUUCACACGUAAUACAAUGGUCGGUACAGAGGGUUGCCAACCCGCGAGGGGGAGCCAAUCCCAGAAAACCGAUCGUAGUCCGGAUUGCAGUCUGCAACUCGACUGCAUGAAGUCGGAAUCGCUAGUAAUCGCGGAUCAGCAUGUCGCGGUGAAUACGUUCCCGGGCCUU